RNAcentral lists this ribosomal RNA (207 nucleotides) under uncultured bacterium. RNAcentral describes it as "partial 16S ribosomal RNA". It matches the Rfam family "Bacterial small subunit ribosomal RNA", at positions 568 to 774 of the family's 1533-position model. The record is from RNAcentral.
UGCGCAGGCGGGCUUGUAAGUCAGUGGUGAAAUACUGCCGCUUAACGGUAGAAUUGCCAUUGAUACUGCAGGUCUUGAAUAUAGUUGAGGUAGGCGGAAUGUGUUGUGUAGCGGUGAAAUGCAUAGAUAUGACACAGAACACCGAUUGCGGAGGCAGCUUACUAAGCUAUGAUUGACGCUGAGGCACGAAAGCGUGGGGAGCGAACA